This 468-nucleotide ribosomal RNA is filed under the name uncultured bacterium. Its description in RNAcentral is "partial 16S ribosomal RNA". It matches the Rfam family "Bacterial small subunit ribosomal RNA", at positions 29 to 507 of the family's 1533-position model. The record is from RNAcentral.
ACGAACGCUGGCGGCGUGCUUCACACCUGCAAGUCGCACGGAAAGGCCCUGCUUGCAGGGUGCUCGAGUGGCGAACGGGUGAGUAACACGUGGGUGAUCUGCCCCUUACUUUGGGAUAAGCCUGGGAAACUGGGUCUAAUACUGGAUAGGACCAUGCUGUAGGUGGUGUGGUGGAAAGAUUAGUUUCGGUAAGGGAUGAGCUCGCGGCCUAUCAGCUUGUUGGUGGGGUAAUGGCCUACCAAGGCGUCGACGGGUAGCCGGCCUGAGAGGGUGGACGGCCACAUUGGGACUGAGAUACGGCCCAGACUCCUACGGGAGGCAGCAGUGGGGAAUAUUGCACAAUGGGCGCAAGCCUGAUGCAGCGACGCCGCGUGGGGGAUGACGGCCUUCGGGUUGUAAACUCCUUUCAGCCAUGACGAAGCCCUUGUGGUGACGGUAGUGGUAGAAGAAGCACCGGCUAACUACGUG